CUGACAGCUCUGGAGACCUGUACUCACAGAGCUGGUAAAAGCACAUGCAGUCAUAGCAUCCCCACACUGCAUUACAACUCUGAAAGGACCAUCUUUAGAGGUGGGAAAGUAAGUUAGUUUCUGUGCCCAUUCAGUAGUUGGCAUCU
This 146-nucleotide small RNA is filed under the name Chrysemys picta bellii (western painted turtle). RNAcentral's name for it is "TUC338 (ENSCPBG00000016100.1)". The record is from RNAcentral. Lineage: Eukaryota; Metazoa; Chordata; Testudines; Emydidae.